RNAcentral lists this antisense RNA (69 nucleotides) under Labedaea rhizosphaerae. RNAcentral describes it as "Labedella sp. RS-49 ASpks TB sRNA". It matches the Rfam family "ASpks TB sRNA". Lineage: Bacteria; Bacillati; Actinomycetota; Actinomycetes; Pseudonocardiales; Pseudonocardiaceae. The record is from Rfam by way of RNAcentral.
CUUGAUCGAACCCAGCCACAACGGCCGGUCGCGAUCCUGGCCGUAGGUAGCCAGCACAGCUUGGGCUUC